GAGUUUGAUCGUGGCUCAGGAUGAACGCUGGCGGCGUGCCUAACACAUGCAAGUCGAACGGAGUUUAUGAGGAAGAAGCUUCGGCGGAAUUCUUAUAAACUUAGUGGCGGACGGGUGAGUAACACGUGGAGAACCUGCCUCUUACCGGGGGACAGCAGUUGGAAACGACUGAUAAUACCGCAUAAGCGCACGAGACCGCAUGGUCCUGUGUGAAAAGAUUUAUCGGUAAGAGAUGGCCCCGCGUCUGAUUAGCCAGUUGGCGGGGUAACGGCCCACCAAAGCGACGAUCAGUAGCCGGCCUGAGAGGGUGAACGGCCACAUUGGGACUGAGACACGGCCCAGACUCCUACGGGAGGCAGCAGUGGGGGAUAUUGCACAAUGGAGGAAACUCUGAUGCAGCGACGCCGCGUGAGUGAAGAAGUAUUUCGGUAUGUAAAGCUCUAUCAGCAGGGAAGAAAGACCUCGAGAGAGGGGAUGACGGUACCUGAGUAAGAAGCCCGGCUAACUACGUGCCAGCA
RNAcentral lists this ribosomal RNA (518 nucleotides) under uncultured microorganism. Its description in RNAcentral is "bacterial SSU rRNA". It matches the Rfam family "Bacterial small subunit ribosomal RNA", at positions 9 to 513 of the family's 1533-position model. The record is from RNAcentral.